RNAcentral lists this ribosomal RNA (398 nucleotides) under Cardinium endosymbiont of Eucypris virens. RNAcentral describes it as "bacterial SSU rRNA". It matches the Rfam family "Bacterial small subunit ribosomal RNA", at positions 1033 to 1431 of the family's 1533-position model. The record is from RNAcentral. Lineage: Bacteria; Pseudomonadati; Bacteroidota; Cytophagia; Cytophagales; Amoebophilaceae.
ACAAGGUGCUGCAUGGCUGUCGUCAGCUCGUGCCGUGAGGUGUUGGGUUAAGUCCUAUAACGAGCGCAACCCUCUUACCUAAUUGCCAGCACGUAACGGUGGGAACUUUAGGUAGACUGCCCGCGCAAGCGGGAGGAAGGAGAGGAUGAGGUCAAGUCAUCAUGGCCUUUAUGCCCAGGGCUACAAACGUACUACAAUGGCGUGUACAGAGGGACGCUACUUGGCAACAAGAUGCAAAUCUCAAAAGCACGUCUCAGUUCGGAUUGGGGUCUGCAAUUCGACCCCAUGAAGUUGGAAUCGCUAGUAAUCGCGUAUCAGCAAUGACGCGGUGAAUACGUUCUCGGACCUUGUACACACCGCCCAUCAAGCCAUGGGAGUUGGUAGAGCUUGAAGACAGU